This 403-nucleotide ribosomal RNA is filed under the name Fusobacteriota bacterium. RNAcentral's name for it is "Fusobacteria bacterium partial 16S ribosomal RNA". It matches the Rfam family "Bacterial small subunit ribosomal RNA", at positions 355 to 776 of the family's 1533-position model. The record is from RNAcentral. Lineage: Bacteria; Fusobacteriati; Fusobacteriota.
GGGGGAAUAUUGCACAAUGGAGGGAACUCUGAUGCAGCGACGCCGCGUGAACGAAGAAGGCCUUCGAGUCGGAAAGUUCUUUUAAGUGGGAAGAUAAUGACGGUACCAUAAGAAAAAGCCCCGGCUAACUACGUGCCAGCAGCCGCGGUAAUACGUAGGGGGCUAGCGUUGUCCGGAAUCACUGGGCGUAAAGGGUUCGCAGGCGGAAAUGCAAGUCAGGUGUAAAAGGCAGUAGCUUAACUACUGUAAGCAUUUGAAACUGCAUAUCUUGAGAAGAGUAGAGGUAAGUGGAAUUUUUAGUGUAGCGGUGAAAUGCGUAGAUAUUAAAAAGAAUACCGGUGGCGAAGGCGACUUACUGGGCUAAUUCUGACGCUAGGGACCGAAAGCGUGGGUAGCAAACAGG